Molecule: long non-coding RNA, 1449 nt
Organism: Xenopus laevis (African clawed frog)
Lineage: Eukaryota; Metazoa; Chordata; Amphibia; Anura; Pipidae
Exons: 3
Source: RefSeq, a predicted model, not a curated record
ACAGUGUUGUAGUGGUUUUUAAAGUUAUAACUAAAUGCAAUUGUCACUGAAAGCAGUUUAUAUUGUCUACAUUGCUUGUUCUGAAUGUAAGUAGCACAAUAGCAGCUGAUGAACAAACGUGGAGGAAACUGAUGUGUUCUACAUUGUUUCACCAGUCACAACCAGGGAAAAGAAAUAAUAACUCAUUCUGCUUUCCAGUGCAAAUACAGUUACAAAUGUAUAAAUGCUGCUUACAUUGCGCAAUAAAAAUGUUUUGGGGUAAGAUUCCCUUUAAGCAGCUAAACUGGAGCAGAAUAAGCAGCACAAAGUAGUCCCUUAUCAACGAACCGCUAUGGUAACAUGGCACAAUGGCAAAGCUACUUGUACAAUCAGAGCGAGUGUUCGGGCAGCUGAGCUCAUAUCCCAGUCCCUUCUAUCUACACACAGACACACGUGACAUUUCCUGCAUGCCUUCUGCUUCAGUUCCGCCAGGUUCUUGCAGGCAAUCCCGUACUUCUGCUCGAUGUGUAAUGUCCUGGUUUGUAACACCGGAUCUUUUUUCUCGGCGGAGGUACAGCUACUAUACCAUUCUUAUCUCCUGACACGCAUGCUCACUCCUUCCCUGCGCUCUGCCGCAUAACCAAGCGCUCCGGUUCGCAGCCGAACUCCAUCUCCCAGAAUGCUUUGCUUCAAGUCAUUUCGCGCUUGCGCAGUACUUGGGUUUUUGUCAAGCGGUGGUUAUGGAGAUGGGAGAGAAGGAGCGGUGGAACGGGGGCCGGUUCUGUGUAUCGCCUCUGGGACUCGGCCGCUGAUAUUUUGUGCAGCGAUUAAAACUCAGGCCUUGCGACAGAAAGUCCGUCAGGCCUUAGGAGCGGUGAAGUUUGUUUUGUGCUGUGAAUAACUCUGCUUGAACCGGGGGGAUUAUUGCGUGACCUGAAGGAGUUCCCGGCAUUCGCCGCUUCCUGUCUCGUAGCGUCAAGGGCUUUAGAGUCUGGACCUGCAUAAUGCCCCACAAGCUUGGAUUUGUUGUUGUAAGUUCAUCUGGGCAUGAAGAUGGAUUUAGUGCCAAAGAGUUGAUGGUCCAUGCUCCCACUGUCAGUGGCUGGAGAUCUCCAAGGCAGUUUCUAGCAAAAACACAGACAAAAAGUCUCCAAAGAAGUUGGAAAAUGAUGAAAAGGGUCUGAUGGAAUCUGAUGAACAGGAACUCAUAAACAAAACCGACAACAUAGCGUCUAAUGAAAGCAAUGCUGAACACGUUAAUACAUGUCCUUCUGCAUCCCCCUUUUCUGAUUUGAAUGAGGUUUCACGUAAUGGCUUAACAGAUGACCGUGAGGGUGGAGUAGGGUUUAGUCACAAAACGUCCUCUGAGCCCUCUAAAGUAAGAGAGGUUUAUCUGAAUGGCAGUCCAUUUGUAGAUGAAGACAGCAAUCAACCGAUGCCUCUGGGGCUCUUUUUGAAAAUGCAGAUCUA